Chrysemys picta bellii (western painted turtle) is the source of this 742-nucleotide non-coding RNA. NCBI's taxonomy places the organism in Eukaryota, Metazoa, Chordata, Testudines, Emydidae. The record is from RefSeq and is a predicted model, not a curated record.
CGCACACAGCGCGCUGCCUCUCCCUGGCCAGGCCCGCUGGCUCCUGUCUUCCCAAACCGACCCGCUGACGAUGAAAGGGCUCCCCGGCCUUGGCUGCGGGGGUGCCGUGGGACUUUCCUGAGCACAGACUGCCAGCUUUUGGAUGAGGCCCAGUUUUAGUUUUCUGUUGAGGCCAAAAUACUAAUUUUGUUCCCUGCUCUGAUCAAGACAAGGAAUUCAGAGGAGUCUUAUCUUCCAUCCUCCUAUUCCUCAUGGUCAGCUGGCUUUCCCACGUUCCUACUGUCUGCAUCUGAUAUUGGGUUCAUUUCUUGGGGAAGGUUGAGUUAACGGAGUGGUCAAGACAAGGGACUGUUUUCUUCCCAACUGCCUCUCAUAAGUGGUCCUAACAACACAUACUGCAGUCAGGGGCACCAGAACAGGGGAGACCAGGAGCCAUAGCCCUCCCACUUCUUACAGGUUGUAAGGGUGAGUGACUGGGGCAGGGGUUGGAGAGGAGCAAGCAAGGGGCAGGGCCUCAGGGAAGAGGUGGCAUGGGACUGGGGGGUGGGGCCACUGUUUGGGCAAUUCCCCCCCACCACACACACACUUUUCGGCUGCUUCCACCUCUCCUGACUGCAGUGACCUUACCUCAAAGCAACCUAAGACUCAAAUGGUCUACUUAAAAAAUAGAAUUUAUUAGGAAUAGCACGUUCAGAUUAAAACAAAAUAAAUGAUUUGUAUAAAAUAUCUAGUCCAUAAACUA